AGUGAACGCUGGCGGUAGGCCUAACACAGGCAAGUCGAACGGCAGCACAGUAAGAGCUUGCUCUUACGGGUGGCGAGUGGCGGACGGGUGAGGAAUACAUCGGAAUCUACUUUUUCGUGGGGGAUAACGUAGGGAAACUUACGCUAAUACCGCAUACGACCUACGGGUGAAAGCAGGGGAUCUUCGGACCUUGCGCGAUUGAAUGAGCCGAUGUCGGAUUAGCUAGUUGGCGGGGUAAAGGCCCACCAAGGCGACGAUCCGUAGCUGGUCUGAGAGGAUGAUCAGCCACACUGGAACUGAGACACGGUCCAGACUCCUACGGGAGGCAGCAGUGGGGAAUAUUGGACAAAGGGCGCAAGCCUGAUCCAGCCAUACCGCGUGGGUGAAGAAGGCCUUCGGGUUGUAAAGCCCUUUUGUUGGGAAAGAAAAGCAGCAGGUUAAUACCCCGCUGUUCUGACGGUACCCAAAGAAUAAGCACCGGCUAACUUCGUG
RNAcentral lists this ribosomal RNA (492 nucleotides) under uncultured bacterium. RNAcentral describes it as "partial 16S ribosomal RNA". It matches the Rfam family "Bacterial small subunit ribosomal RNA", at positions 29 to 507 of the family's 1533-position model. The record is from RNAcentral.